ACUCAACCUACAGUGUGUAUUUCAGGUUUUUCAAGUGAGACACCUGUGUCCUUCACUAAGCCAUGAAUGGAAGGGGAAGGUGGAGGUAUAACUCAAGUGCUUAUAAAAACACACACAACCAUUCCCUUUAUUCAGCUGUACUAACUUUCUCAGCACAUAGACUGAACAAAUACAAGUGAGACGUUAAGAUCAGCAGCUGUAUCAAAGCACAGAGCUGUCAAGUUCUGGGGGAGGCUAUUUGCCAGAUCAGAGCACAUAAACUUUUAGGAUAGAAACUAGAAUAUGAAUUAAGCUCAUAUCACUCAAAAAAGAGCUGAAUGCAUCUGAAACCAAAGUACACUGUCAGCCUCCUCCACUUGCUCCGGGCGCUGAUGCUUCGAUUAGCUAUGCAAGAAGCUACCUGCUAUUUUAGAAUUAUAUGAAGUCACCUCGGGGUAUCUACAAGCUUCUCACGCACAAGAUACUGACUUUUUUUUUUCCUCCUUAUUCUUGGCUUAGAGCACAGUUGUUGCUCCAUCCCGGUGCAAAAAUGUCUCAUGCUAAUCUCUUUGACCUGAAGUAAAUGCAGGCACCUUCGAAACAGGAGUCUUAGAGUCUACUUCUUACUCAACAGAUCCACAGCAAACGCCACUGACCUCAUCUUAUUCUGCCCUACUCCAAAUCGCCAGGGCUUAAUUAGACAUAUCUGGAACCAAGCCUGGCUUCUCCAAACCCAUCAUGGAUGAACUGGAUGAACUGAGCUGCAGCUAUGCAACGGCUUUUGUCUCUGUGGUUUAUACAAGUAAAGAAGGUGACUAAAAUCCAAGAGUUCUACUCUUGUGACGUGAAGACUAUGGCUUCUACGUGGUUCUGACCUAGGCUGUUUUGACCAUAUAAACUGUAAGAAAAAGAAAAGAAUAUGAAAUAGUUACUGCUACCAGUAUUUCAAAACGAAACCAAAUGCUCUAAAGCAUCACCCUGAAAUCAAAUUUCCAGUUGAUUAAGUGGAAGUUUGGAAGAGGGAGAGACGGAUGCAUUGGGAAGCUGUUGAAUUUCAUGGGAGGAAAGUCGGGGAGCAGGGCAUGCAGAGGAACAAUUCCUCCAGCGUUUAUCUGAGUUCAUGUCUGUCCCUGGGUGGGGAUGAAUGACAUUCUUUGCAUUAUGUUUAUACAAAACUAUAAAGGCUGUUGCUAAUUGUUUUUAUGAUCUUCUCUAUCUGGUUUGUAUUUUAAGCAGAAGAGCAAGAAGAUUUGAUUCACCUGAAAAAAUUAACAGUUUUGUGUGCCUUUUUUUGUUUGUUUGUUUUGUUUUUGCGGUACGCUGGCCUCCCACCGCUGUGGCCUCUCCCGUCGCGGAGCACAGGCUCCGGACGCGCAGGCUCAGCGGCCAUGGCUCACAGGCCCCACGGCGUGUGGAACCUUCCCGGACCGGGGCACGAACCCGUGUCCCCUACAUCGGCAGGCGGACUCUCAACCACUGUGCCACCAAGGAAGCCCUACAGUUUGUGUGUCUUUGCUUCACCCUGGAAUUUUACACUGCAAAAAUCUACUGCUAUUUUUGUCUCCCAGAAUGUGUUCUAACAGUGUACAGAGUUUAUGCCUAAUACCCAAACAAAGAUUAAAUUGUCAUAAACUAUAAAAAUUAAUUUCAGGAGGCUCAGGAAUAUAUUUGAGUAGAAAGAGUCAUAUUAGAUAGGCUUGACUCAUCAAAACAUGUU
Orcinus orca (killer whale) is the source of this 1696-nucleotide long non-coding RNA. RefSeq lists it as uncharacterized. The record is from RefSeq and is a predicted model, not a curated record. The transcript has 3 exons. NCBI's taxonomy places the organism in Eukaryota, Metazoa, Chordata, Mammalia, Artiodactyla, Delphinidae.